RNAcentral lists this ribosomal RNA (723 nucleotides) under Acidimicrobiia bacterium. Its description in RNAcentral is "bacterial SSU rRNA". It matches the Rfam family "Bacterial small subunit ribosomal RNA", at positions 1 to 738 of the family's 1533-position model. Lineage: Bacteria; Bacillati; Actinomycetota; Acidimicrobiia. The record is from RNAcentral.
UUGACGGAGAGUUUGAUCCUGGCUCAGGACGAACGCUGGCGGCGUGCUUAAUACAUGCAAGUCGAACGAUCCCGGGACUUCGGUCCCAAUGGGAGAGUGGCGAACGGGUGCGUAACACGUGAGAAACCUAUCCCGGAGAUGGGAAUAGCCCAGGGAAACCUGGAUUAAUGCCCAAUACCCUGAGAGCGCCGCAUGGCGCAUUCAGGAAAGGUUCCGGCGCUUUGGGAGGGUCUCGCGGCCUAUCAGCUUGUUGGUGAGGUAAAGGCUCACCAAGGCAUCGACGGGUAGCUGGUCUGAGAGGACGAUCAGCCACACUGGGACUGAGACACGGCCCAGACUCCUACGGGAGGCAGCAGUAGGGAAUCUUGCGCAAUGGGCGAAAGCCUGACGCAGCAACGCCGCGUGGGGGAUGAAGGCCUUCGGGUCGUAAACCCCUUUCAGCAGGGACGAAAUUGACGGUACCUGCAGAAGAAGCGCCGGCCAACUACGUGCCAGCAGCCGCGGUAAUACGUAGGGCGCAAGCGUUGUCCGGAUUUAUUGGGCGUAAAGGGCUCGUAGGCGGUUCGGUAAGUCGGGUGUGAAAACUCAGGGCUCAACCCUGAGACGCCACUCGAUACUGCCAUGACUAGAGUCCGGUAGAGGAGUGCGGAAUUCCUGGUGUAGCGGUGAAAUGCGCAGAUAUCAGGAGGAACACCGACAGCGAAGGCAGCACUCUGGGCCGGU